RNAcentral lists this non-coding RNA (193 nucleotides) under Mycobacterium scrofulaceum. Lineage: Bacteria; Bacillati; Actinomycetota; Actinomycetes; Mycobacteriales; Mycobacteriaceae. The record is from RNAcentral.
CACCGAGCGAGGCGGGUUGGUGACGCUUCGCGAGAGGGAACCCGGUGAGAACCCGGGACUGUCCCGCAGCGGUAUGCAGGAACGACCGCCGUCACACAAGCACUGGUCGCAAGACUGGGAAGCGACGGUCAGUAGGAGCACCAGCGGGUGCGCGCCUGCGAGUCCGAAGACCUGCCAGCUGUGCCGGGCGCGC